AAGUGGCUUACAUUAACUAUAAAUAUUUACGCCUCGUACGAGUUUACAUCAAGUGGUUUAAAAGUUGGGGUAUUUCUUCCUCAUACGUCAUUCCAGUGUGGUUUACAUGAAGUGAGGAUUUUUGUACCCCACGUGUGCUUAUACUAAGUGGCUUACAUUAACUAUAAAUAUUUACGCCUCGUACGAGUUUACAUCAAGUAGUUUACAUCGUCAGGAGAUUCGUCCCUCGCACGUGUUUGCAGCGUCCGCUACAACACGUGGUCGAGACAGAGCCGGCAUGAUGGUCAAGUCUACUGCCAACGUUCGCUGUUCCUGUCUCCACUGCAUGGUUACGUGAAGGAUAGUGUGUUCAUUGCGAUUAAACAGCAAGAGAUUAACACCUUAGGGUUUACACAUACUUCAAUACAUGGUUGCGUAACGGAUUGUGUUCUUGUUACUCCCAAAUAACGAAAGAUCAGCACCUCAGGGCUAAUACGAGUUUCAUUGCAUGGAUACGUAACUAACUGAGUGUUUAUUGCUACGAAAUUACAUAAGAUCAGCACCUCAGGGUUUACACGACCUUCACUGCAUGGCUACGUAACGAACUGUGUAUUUAUUGCUACCAAAUAACAUAAGAUCAGCACAGGACCUUCCCUGCAUGGUUACGUAACGGACAGUGUGUUUAUUGCGACUACACAAUAAAAGAUCAGAAAUUCAACACGAGCAGCUUCUGGCUUCACCGCAUGGCCAGUGUGUUGAUGUCGUCUAAGGCAGCACAAGAAAGGAGCCGAGAGCCACACGUGCAAGAAGUGUUUAAAUCAAGUUAUUAUUUUUUCCCGAAAAGACUAAUGGCCAGUGUUCAUAUCGUGUGAAGUAGCAUAAGACCACCGCCUUAAGUUUCACGUGAGAAGCACAUUCUGCUGCCCCCCGGCUCUUCACUUUAUGGCUAAGCAGACGUGAUGGUCAGGGUAUUUAUAUCGUCUGAAGUACAGAACCAACGCCUCAUGUUUGUAGCCCGAUGUUCACGUCUCUGUGUGCGUUAUAAAUCUUUACAGCAUAGUUGAAUAAGCAUAACAGAGGCAGACAGGAGUGGUAAGUGGUGGCAGAGAGAGAACCAGGUGAAGUGGACUGUAACCUUUCAUCCCAGUCUGCCGUGACUUCUACAAAUUCCGCGUUGCCGCUCUGUUCCUUUGGUUGUCCAUCAGUGAUCAGUUCCACACAUCACCUGCCCAAAACCAUUAUUCUUGAUAAUCGAAAUAUUUUUCACCUGUGUUUGUCCCUAAUCCUGAGUAAUUGGUGUUUUGCAAAUAAUAUCUUGCACUGCGUCCUAAGCGCUCCAUAACGCUGCCUCAAUUAACAGCUUCCGCCAAUAACGCGCCACUAAACGACACAGUAAAACACCGCAGAUAGCCCUUUAUUUGCGCCUGUCGUGUGGUCACUUCAUUUAUUUGCGUCUAUCGUGUGGUCACUCUGAGGAUGAUACAUGACAGUGUUUGGGCGUGAGGGCGACCAGUGACCCUCCGACAAGUUUACGCGCGGGACGGUUUGUGUGUUGCUCCGCGGCGGACGGGACGAGACAGGCACUGUCGUGUGUAGGUUCAGGCCGCUCACCCACCUGUCCGUGAUACGCGCGUGUCAGGCACCUGCCGAGCAAAGCCGGGUGCUCUUCAUGGCCGGUAUAAUCAUCCACACGGGUUUGUGAAAUUAUUGACUGACGAGAGUGAGGUAGGACACGGAGCUGCCCCGACACGAUGCCUUGCACUGACAGGCUGUAAAACAAACCCUUCACUUACUUUUCACGAACACACGGACACGGAUACGAACGCGGGUGCGGCCACGAAACACGGGCAAGAUGAAGGCCAGACCUGAACCCACGGACAGACUCUGGAAAAAGUGACGUCACACCGGAUACUUUGCAGCUGUUUUAUGCGCACGGAGGCUUGUAAUCUGUGUACUUAGCCACGCACAGCACGAGAACACGGCGCGCCUAACCACGUGGAUGCUGCGAGAGAGUAAGGCGGCGGUGCUCCCUUACCUUAGCGAGCACUGGCUGUCUGCUGGAGUGGCGUCUCCCUCUCCUUGCCCUCAACUUUCGUUGCAAAUAAUGUGAAGUGCCGCGCUGAAAACAACACGCACCCCCCAAAAAAACAGUGAGACGCAACACAAAUAUUACCAUUUCUCAUGAAAAGGGCGCCAGAACGUGAACUUGGCACACCAAAUGUAAACUGCGAGGACGAAAAUUUGGUGAUUCGACGAACGCAGGGGAAGCGACCGUCCCCACGAGGCUUCUAAACCAAGACGUGACGCUAGUGAACGCAAAUAACCACGAAGGCGACUUUAGUGAAGUUUCCCAUUAGUGAACCAUGAAAAAAAAUGUGGACCUCGAAAACAUAUUAGACUAGAAGGACGGUUAUUACUUUCUUAUGUGUAUAUACGCCAGUGCGAACAAGCUUGACACGAGUGAAGAAAACCAGAAGUAAUGAAAACACAACACAAGAAAAGAGAAAACAGAGAUAAUUAAGAGAAAAGAAAACACACAGAGAGCAAGGAAAAUAAUAUAAGACUUGUUUACCGCCUAGUGAGCAAAAACAAUACAUGGUGGAGUGAAAAAAAUAUAUAUGACGUGUAUAAAGAAAAAAGAAAAAAAGAAAACAUAGCCAAUGGAAACAGAGGACAAGGAAGAGAAUAUAAAAUGUGUGUAGAGAACAGAGAGUGGAAAUAAAAAAACAGAAAAGACAAUGAAGAGAGAAAGAGACCUGUAUGGGACAGAAUAAGUGAGAAUAAAAAAACAUUCAGAGGACAAGUAAUAUAAUGUAAGACCUGUAUAGAGAGAGGCAAGAGAAAAAGAGACGCACAGAGGAUACAGAAGAGGAUAUAAGAUAGAUAGAAUGUAUAGCGCCCAUAGCCUCGUGGUGCUCGCUGAGUGUCUCGUGCCGGCUCGACCUCUUGCUCUUGAUUACAGCCCGGCGCCGCCCAGCCCUCAGGCCAAGCAAGAGAGGCGGGAAAGAAAUAGAGAAUGAAAGAGCGAGUUUUAGAAGAAGCCCACGAGAGUAAGACUGUCCAAGGAGCCGCCUGAAAAGGGUAACUGAGGAAGAAGCAUUCGAGGUGCAAAGUGACCGCUGCUGCUGACCGCUUGGGGCAUAAAACUGGCUUAGAGAGACGGACACGAGCGCGAUGUACGGAUAAGAGAGGGAGAAGAGGAGGAAGAGGAAGGAAAAUUGUGACAAGGAAACGAGAGCAGAAACAGAGACAGAUAAAGAUGAUGGAAAGAAGGAAAGAUAAUCAUAAUGAAACGAGGGAAAAGACAGAGAGGAGAAAGAGGAGGUGAAGAGGAAUACAUAGAAGAAAAAGAAGCAGAAGUUGGAAAGAGAGGCGGAGAGGAAGGAACCAUAGACAGAUAGGGAAGGAGAAAAAAUCAUCGGAAACAGAAAGAAGAGAGAGAGGAGACUAAGAAGAAGUAAUAAUAGAGGAUAACAAUAAAACAGCAAGCAGGGAAAGGAUGAAAUGGGGUUAACGAAAGAAAGGAAGAGAGAAAACAAGAACAGAACGGAAAAUGAGAAGAAAGCACUUAGAGAGAGAGAAAGCAUGAGGGAAGAGAAAUAAAAACAGAGGUAGGAAGAAGAGAGAAAAGGAGGAGGAGGGGAAAGAGAGGGGAAAGGAGACGAGGAAGAAAAAAAUCAGAAAAAAAGGAAAAAAAGGUGAUACGAAGUGAGAGAAAAACAAAGAGGAGGAGAAAGAAGAGGAGGAGGAGGAGGAGGAGGAUAAUGGUUUACAGGGAGAAGAAGGGCCAUAAAAGGCUGCCAUAUGGUUCCUUAGACACUCAUCCACCUUAAGACCUUCCCUUUAUCCUCCUCUCUCUCCUUCCUUCCGUCCCGAGGAGAAGAGGAAGAAGAAGAAGAAGAAGAAGAAGAAGAAGAAGAAGUAGAAGAAAAAGAAGAAGAAGAAGAAGAAGAAGAAGAAGAAAAAGAAAAAGAAGAAGAAGAAAGAAGAAAAAAUACAUAACAAAAAUACGAACUAAGCGAACAACAACAACAACAACAACAGUAACAAAAGCAGUAAAAUGACCACCUCUUCCCAGCAGCUCAGGGCCAAACAUCCGACGACCACAACGACCACCACGACCACCACCAACAACGACAACAACAACAACAACAACAACAACAACACUUCAUCAUCAUCCUUCACCACCUCAACCUCAUCCUCACCACCGCCAGAGUCAUCACCACAGCCACAGGGGACCACCACCACCACCACCACCACCGCCGCCGCUCCACGCAACUUGCCACUUCAGGGCCGUCUGAACCAGCUGCAGGCCGAGGUGAGUCAGCUGGAGCGGCGCAGUGAGGAACUCGAGGCGCGCGUCAAGAGCUUCUUCAGGCAGCACCACGCCCUCGCAGCAGCCACCGACCAGAUAGACCUCAAGCUGGAGGCGCUCAACAGGGCACACAAGGCGGUUUCGUCCUCGUAAUAGCAAGCUUCUGUUUCGAUGGUUCAGUAAGCGAGAGAUGUCUAUAGAUAACAGAGCCGGUAUUCUUGAACGUAUUGGCGCCUCAGUUCCCCCCAUUUAAAAAGCCUCUCGUAGAAGUUGCUGACUUUUCAUAGACUGUUUUGUGAUCCUGGUGAUAAUUUUGCACGGUCUCUACUCCCUGAACUGGAAAAUCACCCAUGAAAACCUGGCGAGUCUUCUCUGUGGCCUUAGAACAUGGUCGUAGUGGGAGCCCGAUAUGUUCAAGAAUAUGGUCGGCUUUUCAAAGGAAAAUCACCCAUGAAAACCUGGCUGA
Eriocheir sinensis (Chinese mitten crab) is the source of this 4760-nucleotide long non-coding RNA. RefSeq lists it as uncharacterized. NCBI's taxonomy places the organism in Eukaryota, Metazoa, Arthropoda, Malacostraca, Decapoda, Varunidae. The record is from RefSeq and is a predicted model, not a curated record. The transcript is spliced from 4 exons.